RNAcentral lists this ribosomal RNA (195 nucleotides) under uncultured bacterium. Its description in RNAcentral is "partial 16S ribosomal RNA". It matches the Rfam family "Bacterial small subunit ribosomal RNA", at positions 338 to 524 of the family's 1533-position model. The record is from RNAcentral.
CCUACGGGAGGCAGCAGUAGGGAAUUUUCCACAAUGGGCGAAAGCCUGAUGGAGCAACGCCGCGUGAACGAUGAAGGUCUUCGGAUUGUAAAGUUCUGUUGUCAGGGACGAACAAGUACCGUUCGAACAGGGCGGUACCUUGACGGUACCUGACGAGAAAGCCCCGGCUAACUACGUGCCAGCAGCCGCGGUAAU